UGGGGAAUAUUGGACAAUGGGGGGAACCCUGAUCCAGCCAUGCCGCGUGUGUGAAGAAGGCCUUUUGGUUGUAAAGCACUUUAAGCGAGGAGGAGGCUACUCUAGUUAAUACCUGGGGAUAGUGGACGUUACUCGCAGAAUAAGCACCGGCUAACUCUGUGCCAGCAGCCGCGGUAAUACAGAGGGUGCGAGCGUUAAUCGGAUUUACUGGGCGUAAAGCGUGCGUAGGCGGCUUUUUAAGUCGGAUGUGAAAUCCCUGAGCUUAACUUAGGAAUUGCAUUCGAUACUGGGAAGCUAGAGUAUGGGAGAGGAUGGUAGAAUUCCAGGUGUAGCGGUGAAAUGCGUAGAGAUCUGGAGGAAUACCGAUGGCGAAGGCAGCCAUCUGGCCUAAUACUGACGCUGAGGUACGAAAGCAUGGGGAGCAAACAG
This 429-nucleotide ribosomal RNA is filed under the name uncultured bacterium. RNAcentral's name for it is "bacterial SSU rRNA". It matches the Rfam family "Bacterial small subunit ribosomal RNA", at positions 355 to 775 of the family's 1533-position model. The record is from RNAcentral.